GCGCCGUCUGAAGAAUCGCUGUCGCAGCUCACGCACAGGGAGUCGUCCUCUCGUUCUUCAGCUGUGGGGAAAGUCCCCGGAGAUGCAGAGCACGUCCUGCCUAUCUUGGAAAGCAGCCACCCCCAAGCACGGUGGCCUGGGCAGGGCAGGAGGGACAUCACCGCGCGGGCGUGAGCUCGCGCGCCGUUCCAUCCACUCUGCCGCCUGUCGCGUUCGUGCGCGCGUCCAACCAACACGCCGGCAUGCGGAGAUACGAGCACGCUAAUCGUGGGGUGUGUGCACGGCGCGCGGGCGAUUUGUUGCUCAUAGACAAAGUUAUGCGAUCGCGGGACACGCUCUCGCGUGCCCGUCAACGGAAUGGGGCUUACUCUCGGUCGGCU
This is a non-coding RNA of Postia placenta Mad-698-R, 380 nucleotides long. The record is from Rfam. Lineage: Eukaryota; Fungi; Basidiomycota; Agaricomycetes; Polyporales; Adustoporiaceae.